UCGAACGGUGAAGCCCAGCUUGCUGGGUGGAUCAGUGGCGAACGGGUGAGUAACACGUGAGCAAUCUGCCCCUGACUCUGGGAUAAGCGCUGGAAACGGCGUCUAAUACUGGAUACGAGUAGUGAUCGCAUGGUCGACUACUGGAAAGAAUUUCGGUCAGGGAUGAGCUCGCGGCCUAUCAGCUUGUUGGUGAGGUAAUGGCUCACCAAGGCGUCGACGGGUAGCCGGCCUGAGAGGGUGACCGGCCACACUGGGACUGAGACACGGCCCAGACUCCUACGGGAGGCAGCAGUGGGGAAUAUUGCACAAUGGGCGGAAGCCUGAUGCAGCAACGCCGCGUGAGGGAUGACGGCCUUCGGGUUGUAAACCUCUUUUAGCAGGGAAGAAGCGAAAGUGACGGUACCUGCAGAAAAAGCGCCGGCUAACUACGUGCCAGCAGCCGCGGUAAUACGUAGGGCGCAAGCGUUAUCCGGAAUUAUUGGGCGUAAAGAGCUCGUAGGCGGUUUGUCGCGUCUGCUGUGAAAUCCCGAGGCUCAACCUCGGGCCUGCAGUGGGUACGGGCAGACUAGAGUGCGGUAGGGGAGAUUGGAAUUCCUGGUGUAGCGGUGGAAUGCGCAGAUAUCAGGAGGAACACCGAUGGCGAAGGCAGAUCUCUGGGCCGUAACUGACGCUGAGGAGCGAAAGGGUGGGGAGCAAACAGGCUUAGAUACCCUGGUAGUCCACCCCGUAAACGUUGGGAACUAGUUGUGGGGUCCAUUCCACGGAUUCCGUGACGCAGCUAACGCAUUAAGUUCCCCGCCUGGGGAGUACGGCCGCAAGGCUAAAACUCAAAGGAAUUGACGGGGACCCGCACAAGCGGCGGAGCAUGCGGAUUAAUUCGAUGCAACGCGAAGAACCUUACCAAGGCUUGACAUAUUCGAGAACGGGCCAGAAAUGGUCAACUCUUUGGACACUCGUAUACAGGUGGUGCAUGGUUGUCGUCAGCUCGUGUCGUGAGAUGUUGGGUUAAGUCCCGCAACGAGCGCAACCCUCGUUCUAUGUUGCCAGCACGUAAUGGUGGGAACUCAUGGGAUACUGCCGGGGUCAACUCGGAGGAAGGUGGGGAUGACGUCAAAUCAUCAUGCCCCUUAUGUCUUGGGCUUCACGCAUGCUACAAUGGCCGGUACAAAGGGCUGCAAUACCGCGAGGUGGAGCGAAUCCCAAAAAGCCGGUCCCAGUUCGGAUUGAGGUCUGCAACUCGACCUCAUGAAGUCGGAGUCGCUAGUAAUCGCAGAUCAGCAACGCUGCGGUGAAUACGUUCCCGGGUCUUGUACACACCGCCCGUCAAGUCAUGAAAGUCGGUAACACCUGAAGCCGGUGGCCCAACCCU
Molecule: ribosomal RNA, 1369 nt
Filed under: Microbacterium sp. KW016
Lineage: Bacteria; Bacillati; Actinomycetota; Actinomycetes; Micrococcales; Microbacteriaceae
Description: bacterial SSU rRNA
Rfam family: Bacterial small subunit ribosomal RNA
Source: RNAcentral